This 764-nucleotide ribosomal RNA is filed under the name uncultured Nocardioides sp. Its description in RNAcentral is "bacterial SSU rRNA". It matches the Rfam family "Bacterial small subunit ribosomal RNA", at positions 70 to 847 of the family's 1533-position model. The record is from RNAcentral. Lineage: Bacteria; Bacillati; Actinomycetota; Actinomycetes; Propionibacteriales; Nocardioidaceae.
UAAGGCCCUUUCGGGGGUACACGAGCGGCGAACGGGUGAGUAACACGUGAGUUAUCUGCCCUUCACUUCGGGAUAAGCCUCGGAAACGGGGUCUAAUACCGGAUACGACACUUUACGCAUGUAAUGGGUGUGGAAAGUUUUUUCGGUGGGGGAUGUGCUCGCGGCCUAUCAGCUUGUUGGUGGGGUAAUGGCCUACCAAGGCUUCGACGGGUAGCCGGCCUGGGAGGGUGACCGGCCACACUGGGACUGAGACACGGCCCAGACUCCUACGGGAGGCAGCAGUGGGGAAUAUUGGACAAUGGGCGGAAGCCUGAUCCAGCAACGCCGCGUGAGGGAUGACGGCCUUCGGGUUGUAAACCUCUUUCAGCGGGGACGAAGCGCAAGUGACGGUACCCGCAGAAGAAGCACCGGCCAACUACGUGCCAGCAGCCGCGGUAAUACGUAGGGUGCGAGCGUUGUCCGGAAUUAUUGGGCGUAAAGGGCUCGUAGGCGGUUUGUCGCGUCGGGAGUGAAAACGCCGGGCUUAACUCGGUGCUUGCUUUCGAUACGGGCAGACUAGAGGCAUGCAGGGGAGAACGGAAUUCCUGGUGUAGCGGUGAAAUGCGCAGAUAUCAGGAGGAACACCGGUGGCGAAGGCGGUUCUCUGGGCAUGUCCUGACGCUGAGGAGCGAAAGUGUGGGGAGCGAACAGGAUUAGAUACCCUGGUAGUCCACACCGUAAACGUUGGGCGCUAGGUGUGGGAUCCAUUCCACGGGUUCCGUGCC